AAAGAUAUCAAAGUCUCGAAGUUUGGUUGUUGUUUAUCUUCAUCAAAGUCUCGAAGUUUGGUUGUUGUUUAUCUUCAACCUUUGGUGAAAUUCUACAACAAAUCAAAAACGCUUUUACAAAAAAUUGAAGAGUCUCGACUUCAAGUAUGUUCUUCUUAUAGUUUUUCUUUUUGUAGUUGGGUUGGUUGAGGGCAUUCAACUAUUUGUUUCAAACUUGCUUUAUUAUCUGUUUGUAUGAAUUUCUUCAAGGACUGUUCCUCAAAAUUGUGAAUUAUAUGAAGAGAAAUUCUAUCUUUGUGUUGUUUGUCAUAUAUUAAAAAUUUUUUUUUAACACUUAAUCUACUGUCUAUUAAAAGAGAGGAUGCCAUUCUACUGUUCAUUUGAAAACUCCCUCACAUAGGCCUGUUGGGGAGAGAUUUUUUCACCCAAAAAAUUGAUUUUUUUGACCGUUAUUUCACUAUUCUAGCUAUCAUAUUUGACUUCUUUUCUUACAGGUGGACCCCACUUUUCUCCUAACGGUCAAAAAAUCAAUUCUCAAAACCACUACCAAACAGGCUCAUAUUCAUUGUUCAUUUGUAAAGCUGUGUGUGGACAAAAUGAGGACAGUUCGAACAUUUCACUCAUACCAUAAUUGUUGACUGGAGAACUAGGAUUUUAUUGUUGGUAGCUUCCAAAACACGUUUGUUUAUCUUUUUCUCACUGUAAUGUUCAUGAAUCCAUUGAACUUUUGCAGAUGUUUUCUAUACCAUUUUUAUAUUUCACUCUUCUUAGACACAAACCCUUGAAAUCUGCUGCAACAUCUCACUUCCUCAGCCAUCUCCUUCACCGUCAAAAGCACAACUUCAGAUAGGAAGGUAAUUAAGCGAUUAGUGAAGAUUUCUAGCUGCAAAGGUUUGUUGUUGUUAAUAAUUUAAGGUUUUCAAUUUGGGUUGUAGUUUUGGU
This 942-nucleotide long non-coding RNA is filed under the name Olea europaea subsp. europaea. Lineage: Eukaryota; Viridiplantae; Streptophyta; Magnoliopsida; Lamiales; Oleaceae. The record is from RNAcentral.